UGGGGAAUUGUUCGCAAUGGGCGCAAGCCUGACGACGCAACGCCGCGUGGAGGAUGAAGGUCUUCGGAUUGUAAACUCCUGUUGCCCGGGACGAACCGCUCCGACCUAACACGUCGGAGUCUGACGGUACCGGGUGAGGAAGCCCCGGCUAACUCUGUGCCAGCAGCCGCGGUAAUACAGCGGGGGCUAGCGUUGUUCGGAAUUACUGGGCGUAAAGGGCGCGUAGGUGGCCUGCUAAGUCGAACGUGAAAUCCCCGGGCUCAACCCGGGAACUGCGUCCGAGACUGGCAGGCUCGAAUCCGGGAGAGGGAUGUGGAAUUCCAGGUGUAGCGGUGAAAUGCGUAGAUAUCUGGAGGAACACCGGUGGCGAAGGCGGCAUCCUGGACCGGUAUUGACGCUGAGGCGCGAAAGCCAGGGGAGCAAA
RNAcentral lists this ribosomal RNA (424 nucleotides) under uncultured bacterium. RNAcentral describes it as "bacterial SSU rRNA". It matches the Rfam family "Bacterial small subunit ribosomal RNA", at positions 355 to 772 of the family's 1533-position model. The record is from RNAcentral.